UUUGUAUGGUAAGUGACAAAUGUACGUGUCUUGGUUCAGAUUUCAGUCCACAUUGUGUGGCUGCUUACUUCUUGUUUGGAAACACACAGAAAAGCAAACGAAAAGGAGAGCUGGGCUGUUUUUUUUUUUUAAUAAUAAGAGCUAGGCUUAUUAUCGAUGGGUGGUGAUAUAUAUUAUGCUGAUCCAUCAUUUCCGAUCUUUGUAGUGUUGAUCUUCUUCCUUGGAUGGGAUUUUGGAGGAUUGUGAGGCUGAUUUUGAUUUGGGAUGGAGACAUUCUGGGGAUCCCAAAAAGAUAUUUUCAGUUGUUCACGGUGGCCACUAGCAGCCCAUGGUUUUCUUUCUCCUCUCUUUGAAAUUUAUGUCGAUCUCCAUCAGACAACCAAGUUGUGUAUGAGUCCGAUUCAGACAUACACACACACACAUGGUAUGUUUGUAUAUAUGCAUAUGCAUGCAUAUAUGAAUGUAUCGAUGCAUGUAUUGUCUAUCCUAUUUAGAACUAUGCAAUUUGCAUAGUUUGAUAAUUCUAUUGUGAUGAUAGCUGUGGUUUAUGAUGAUAUAUAUCAGACUCAUCUCCAAUAAAGCUUCAAACUACUAAGGUUUUGGUUCAACA
Long non-coding RNA from Rosa chinensis, 610 nucleotides. RefSeq lists it as uncharacterized. The record is from RefSeq and is a predicted model, not a curated record. NCBI's taxonomy places the organism in Eukaryota, Viridiplantae, Streptophyta, Magnoliopsida, Rosales, Rosaceae. The transcript is spliced from 3 exons.